ACCGGCAGCUAGCUCUCUGCAACUCUCACAUGGUCGCCCACUGAAGCUAAGCACUGCUGCGCCCGGUCAGUACCUGGAUGGGAGACCACAUGGGAAAGCUAGGUUGCUGCCGGAA
RNAcentral lists this ribosomal RNA (115 nucleotides) under Danio rerio (zebrafish). The record is from RNAcentral. Lineage: Eukaryota; Metazoa; Chordata; Actinopteri; Cypriniformes; Danionidae.